Molecule: ribosomal RNA, 460 nt
Filed under: uncultured bacterium
Lineage: Bacteria
Description: partial 16S ribosomal RNA
Rfam family: Bacterial small subunit ribosomal RNA
Source: RNAcentral
CCUACGGGAUGCUGCAGUGCGGAAUAUUGGUCAAUGGACGCAAGUCUGAACCAGCCAUGCCGCGUGCAGGAAGACGGCUCUAUGAGUUGUAAACUGCUUUUGUACGAGGGUAAACGCAGAUACGCGUAUCUGUCUGAAAGUAUCUUACGAAUAAGCAUCGGCUACCUCCGUGCCAGCAGCCGCGGUAAUACGGAGGAUUCAAGCGUUAUCCGUAUUUAUUGGGUUUAACUGGUGCGUAGGCGGUCGUAUAAGUUAGAGGUGCAAUCCCGAGGCUCAACGUCGGAAUUGCCCAUGAUACUGUUCGGCGAGAGAGUAGUUGCGGUAGGCGGAAUGUAUGGUGUAGCGGUGAAAUGCUUAGAGAUCAUACAGAACACCGAUUGCGAAGGCAGCUUACCAAGCUACUUCUGACGUUGAGGAACGAAAGCGUGGGGAGCAAACAGGAUUAGAUACCCGGGUAGUC